RNAcentral lists this transfer RNA (85 nucleotides) under Leucogyrophana mollusca. RNAcentral describes it as "tRNA-Ala". It matches the Rfam family "tRNA". From Rfam's summary of the family: Transfer RNA (tRNA) molecules are approximately 80 nucleotides in length. Their secondary structure includes four short double-helical elements and three loops (D, anti-codon, and T loops). Lineage: Eukaryota; Fungi; Basidiomycota; Agaricomycetes; Boletales. The record is from RNAcentral.
GGGCAUAUGGUGUAGCUGGUUAUCACGCCCGCUUAGCACCGCGCUGACAUGCGGGCGGUCUCCGGUUCGAGUCCGGAUUUGUCCA